UACAGAGGUCUCAACCGUUGUUCGGAUUCAUUGGGCGUAAAGGGUGCGUAGGCGGUCGCGCAAGUCGGAUGUGAAAUCUCGAGGCUCAACCUCGAAACUGCAUUCGAUACUGCGUGGCUAGAGUGCUGGAGGGGAGACUGGAAUUUACGGUGUAGCAGUGAAAUGCGUAGAGAUCGUAAGGAAGACCAGUGGCGAAGGCGAGUUUCUGGACAGUUACUGACGCUGAGGCACGAAGGCCAGGGGAGCAAACGGG
This 253-nucleotide ribosomal RNA is filed under the name uncultured prokaryote. RNAcentral describes it as "partial 16S ribosomal RNA". It matches the Rfam family "Bacterial small subunit ribosomal RNA", at positions 524 to 776 of the family's 1533-position model. The record is from RNAcentral.